UUUUCCAAUCAGUUCCUGGCAGGGAGAAGAUACAAAGUGGUAGCGCUCACAGCGAUGGGAAGGGCUUUGCUUCUGGGCUGCAGCAUGGCAGAGCACGGGGAGACCGCUUCACAAAGCAAGCUCCUGCUUCACCAUGGUCUGCUACCAAGACAGGUGCCUGACUCCCAAAGUGUGAGCAUUUCUACAAAUGAGCAGGGGCACGGGCCCCCAGGAACACUCUGGUGCUGACGUGGCUGCCUUCUUCCCUCUGGGAAGCCUGCGACGGUAUCUCUCCAUCUGUGUCAUGUAUGGAAAAUUUUGUUUCACACAUUUCUGAUGUUCAUUUUGGGACAGAAUAAUGAAGUUUAAAAUAUCUACUUUAAAUCUAAACUACGUGUAAUAAAAACUGUGUGAAUUUUAA
RNAcentral lists this long non-coding RNA (400 nucleotides) under Rattus norvegicus (Norway rat). RNAcentral's name for it is "long non-coding RNA NONRATT014941". The record is from RNAcentral. Lineage: Eukaryota; Metazoa; Chordata; Mammalia; Rodentia; Muridae.